UACAGAGGGUGCGAGCGUUAAUCGGAAUUACUGGGCGUAAAGCGUGCGUAGACGGUCAAGUAAGUCGGGUGUGAAAGCCCCGGGCUCAACCUGGGAAAUUGCAUUCGAGACUGCGUGGCUAGGGUGCGGAAGAGGGAAGCGGAAUUUCCGGUGUAGCGGUGAAAUGCGUAGAUAUCGGAAGGAACACCGGUGGCGAAGGCGGCUACCUGGACAGAAACUGACGCUGAGGCGCGAAAGCUAGGGGAGCAAACAGG
RNAcentral lists this ribosomal RNA (254 nucleotides) under uncultured bacterium. RNAcentral's name for it is "partial 16S ribosomal RNA". It matches the Rfam family "Bacterial small subunit ribosomal RNA", at positions 524 to 776 of the family's 1533-position model. The record is from RNAcentral.